RNAcentral lists this ribosomal RNA (516 nucleotides) under uncultured bacterium. RNAcentral's name for it is "bacterial SSU rRNA". It matches the Rfam family "Bacterial small subunit ribosomal RNA", at positions 32 to 540 of the family's 1533-position model. The record is from RNAcentral.
AACGCUAGCGGGAGGCUACCACAUGUUGAAACCGAGCGGUAGAGAUUCUUCGGAAGUCUUGAGAGCGGCGCACGGGUGCGGAACACUGUGUGCAACCUGCCUUUAUCUGGGGGAUAGCCUUUCUGAAAGGGAGAUUAAUACCCCAUAAUAUACUGAGUGGCAUCACUUAUUAUUGAAAACUCCGGUGGCAUAGAGAUGGGCACGCGCAAGAUUAGAUAGUUGGUGAGGUAACGGCUCACCAAGUCAAUGAUCUUUAGGGGGCCUGAGAGGGUGAUCCCCCACACUGGUACUGAGACACGGACCAGACUCCUACGGGAGGCAGCAGUGAGGAAUAUUGGACAAUGGGUGAGAGCCUGAUCCAGCCAUCCCGCGUGAAGGACGACGGCCCUAUGGGUUGUAAACUUCUUUUGUACAGGGAUAAACCUUUCCACGUGUGGAAAGCUGAAGGUACUGUACGAAUAAGCACCGGCAUAACUCCGUUGACCAGCAGCCGCGGUAAUACGGAGGGUGCAAGCG